This is a long non-coding RNA of Oncorhynchus keta (chum salmon), 591 nucleotides long. RefSeq lists it as uncharacterized. The record is from RefSeq and is a predicted model, not a curated record. The transcript is spliced from 3 exons. NCBI's taxonomy places the organism in Eukaryota, Metazoa, Chordata, Actinopteri, Salmoniformes, Salmonidae.
ACUGGACCCCCAGGACCAAAGCUACCGCCACCACUACCCUCACCCCCACCAGAGCUACUCUCACCCCCCUCCUCCCCCCUACGGCCAGCCCCCAGCCCCUGCCGGUGGGGGCGUGGAGGAGCCUCGAGCGUUCCACCCCCCUGCCCUGUCUCCACGGUUACUGCACCCCGCUGUCCAUCAUUCUCAUCAAGCUGCUCACCACCACACACAGCAGCAAGGAGCCAUGGUCAUGGACCUUCAUGAACAGGCCUCAGUCCCAGUCUCCUAUACGGUGACUCCUGUCCCUUCUCAUCAUGGUCUUGUAGCUCCUCUGUAUACAGGACAGCACCUCCCUCCUGUCUGUUCUUCUCAACAACAGAUCCCAGCAUGCAGUGUGGUCUUCAGUACAGGACAACACUACCACCCUAUGCUGGGGGCGUGUUCGGUGCAGCAUUUACCUGUGCCCUACUCCUUUCCCUCCCUCCUCUCCAAUGAUCCUCCUUUCCUCCUCCCCCCUCCCCACCUCUCUCACCACCCCCCUCACCUCCCUCCACCUGGACAUUUCCUUCCCUUCCCGACACAACAGUCCAGAUCGGUAAGAAACACAUCUCU